CCUACGGGAGGCAGCAGUGAGGAAUAUUGGUCAAUGGACGGAAGUCUGAACCAGCCAAGUCGCGUGCAGGAUGACUGCCCUAUGAGUUGUAAACUUCUUUUUUACAAGAGUAAAGCUGGAUACGUGUAUUUCUCUGCAAGUACUUUACGAAUAAGGAUCGGCUAACUCCGUGCCAGCCGCCGCGUUAAUACGGAGGAUCCGAGCGUUAUCCGGAUUUAUUGGGUUUAAAGGGUGCGUAGGCGGAGUGUUAAGUUAGGUGUGAAAAGUGUGGGCUUAACCCUGGAACGGCCUCUAAUACUGUCGAUCUAGAGUGUAGCAGCGGUAGGCGGAAUUUGUGGUGUAGCGGUGAAAUGCUUAGAUAUCAUGCAGAACACCGAUUGCGAAGGCAGUUUAC
Molecule: ribosomal RNA, 394 nt
Filed under: uncultured bacterium
Lineage: Bacteria
Description: partial 16S ribosomal RNA
Rfam family: Bacterial small subunit ribosomal RNA
Source: RNAcentral